CACCAUCCAUAGAAACUUUCUUUUCUUUUCUUGAUUCCUGAACGUUUAAAUUCCGAGAAACCAAUCAUAUUCUUUAAAACAAGUUGUAUUCUUGGACUGAGUCCAGACGAUUUCAUUGGUUUCUUGGACUGAUUUUUGUGCUGCAUUUUUUUGCAAGAAAUGGUCAGAGCGCCAACAAGAUCAUCAAGAACAAUAGAGACAAGACUAUGGUGCGGUGUUUUGGCUUUGUGAGUGUUUUACUGCUGGCGGUUCUUGCGUUGUCAAUGGUGGUGUUGCCCUUGCUUUUGCCUCCUUUGCCUCCUCCUCCUCUAUUGCUUCUUUUAUUUCCGGUUGGUAUGGCUGCUCUCAUGUUCUUGGCUUUCUCACCAGCUGAGGCUGGAGGAAAUGCUGUUGCUCCUAGUGUAUAAGAGUUUGGGUUUAAUUGGG
This 426-nucleotide unclassified non-coding RNA is filed under the name Hevea brasiliensis (rubber tree). The record is from RNAcentral. Lineage: Eukaryota; Viridiplantae; Streptophyta; Magnoliopsida; Malpighiales; Euphorbiaceae.